This 497-nucleotide ribosomal RNA is filed under the name uncultured bacterium. Its description in RNAcentral is "partial 16S ribosomal RNA". It matches the Rfam family "Bacterial small subunit ribosomal RNA", at positions 28 to 507 of the family's 1533-position model. The record is from RNAcentral.
GAUGAACGCUGGCGGCGUGCCUAAUACAUGCAAGUCGAGCGAACGGACGAUAAGCUUGCUUCUCUCAUGUUAGCGGCGGACGGGUGAGUAACACGUGGAUAACCUACCUAUAAGACUGGGAUAACUUCGGGAAACCGGAUCUAAUACCGUAUAAUAUUUUGAACCGCAGGGUGCAAAAGUGAAAGACGGUCUUGCUGGCACUUAUAGAGGGAUCCGCGCUGGUUGAGCUAGUUGUUAAGGUAACGGCUUACCAAGGCAACGAUGCAUAGCCGACCUGAGAGGGUGAUCGGCCACACUGGAACUGAGACACGGUCCAGACUCCUACGGGAGGCAGCAGUAGGGAAUCUUCCGCAAUGGGCGAAAGCCUGACGGAGCAACGCCGCGUGAGUGAUGAAGGUCUUCGGAUCGUAAAACUCUGUUAUUAGGGAAGAACAUAUGUGUAAGUAACUGUGCACAUCUUGACGGUACCUAAUCAGAAAGCCACGGCUAACUACGUG